GCCCAAAGUGUCCAAAGCCACACAUACAAAGCAACAAAUUAGGGUUUUAAGCUAGCACUGUUAGACUUCAAAGCCUCUUAACCAUUCUACUGCCCUGCUGUAGGGCAUGGGGAGAUGGGGGGAUAAGCCAUGGUUGCCAUCAAAGAGUUAAUAUAACAAUAACAUGCAGAUGGAUGGCAGCUCCUGUUUAUUGGCACCAGCUGUGGUCCAGGUACAGCGCUAAGCACUAUAAUUACACUGUUAAGUCAUCAGAACAGAAGCUCCCCACACCAGCUCUAAUAGGGGUGAGUGUUGGACAUAAGCAGGGAGCUGAGAAGAAGCCAAGACAAGGCCGGUUGCAGUGACUCAUGCUUGUAAUCCCAGCACUUUGGGAGGCUGAGGUAGGUGGACCACCUGAGGCAGGAGUUCAAGACCACCCCGGCCAAUAUGGCAAAACCCUGUCUCUACUAAAAAUUACAAAAAUUAGCUGGGGGUGGUGAUGCACGCCUGUAAUCCCAGUUACUCAGGAAGCUGAGGGAGGGAGAAUUGCUUGAACCUGGGAGGCGGAGCUUGCAGUGAGCUUAUAAUGGGCCACUGCACACUAGCCUGGGCAACAGAGCGAGAUUCCAUCUCAAAAAAAAAAAAAAGCCAACACUAGAGAUCCUUCCACUGCUGGGCUCUCAAAGUCUGGAUUCCAAGCACCUCCAGGUUUCUAUUUUGGCAUAUUUACAUAAUUUCGCAUUUCGAUGCUUAUAAUUUUUUUAUAUAACAAGAAAAUUUUAUGCAUCUCAAAUGUGUACAUUUUUUUUUUCAGACAGGGUCUUGAUCUGUCACCCAGGCUGGAGUGCAGUGGUGCCUUCAUAGCUCACUGCUGCCUCAAGCUCUUGGGCUCCAAAGAUCCUCCUACCUCAGCCUCCAGAGCUGGGGGUCUACAGGCGCGUACCACCAUGCCCAGCUACUAUUCUUAUUAUUCCCAAAUGCCACCCCACCAUAUUUCUAAAAACUCCCAAAGAAAGAUUCUACUUUGCCCAGUUUGUCCUCAAUUGAGCAGUUUUGUCUAAGCCCAGAGUUUCUGCUGGGCCAGAGUAUGGAUGAGCUGUCUCUCCCUGGCUGGUGCCCAUGCCUGCCUGUAGCCUGGGAGGGGGAGUGGCGCCCAGGGUCAGGUGGAACAAAACAUGACUGCCUAGGGCUGCCUCUGUCUCCAUCUCACUGAUCGCAAAUCACAGCUCAGACAGCCAGCUCUUAAGUGAGACCUGAGUGCCAGAGAGGGGUGGAUACAAGGCCAACAGUUACUAAAUGAAUGAAAAUUGUGAUUCCGAUGAAGCCUGCCAGAGAAAUAAAGCAUUUUUUAAAAGAUGGAAAUAAGGCGAUAUCUGAUUAGGGCAAACAUGAUGCAGACAAGAAAUGCACCGGUUCAGAGGAGGGAAGGUCAGGCCGCCUGGGGGGAGUCCACGAAAAAGAUGGAACGUGCCAGAUGCUGUGC
RNAcentral lists this long non-coding RNA (1462 nucleotides) under Homo sapiens (human). Its description in RNAcentral is "LHRI_LNC226.1". Lineage: Eukaryota; Metazoa; Chordata; Mammalia; Primates; Hominidae. The record is from RNAcentral.